ACCGUGGCUCAGUUCAGAUCGUAGGCUGCAACUCGCCUACGUGAAGGCGGAAUCGCUAGUAAUCGCAGGUCAGCAUACUGCGGUGAAUACGUUCCCGGGCCUUGUACACACCGCCCGUCACACCAUGGAAGUUGGCCACGCCCGAAGCCGUUACUCCAACCCUUGUGGAGGAGGACGUCGAAGGUGGGGCUGAUGACUGGGGUGAAGUCGUAACAAGGUAUCCGUACCGGAAGGUGCGGAUGGAUCACCUCCUAACAGGGAGACAACACAAUGAUUUUGAUGCCUGAGUGCUUUUAUUCUUAGGCCGAAAUCCUGUCACCUUAGGUCGAUCGGUACCUCAGCUUUGAAGUCAAGGAUCAGCAGCAAUGUUGAUUGCUUGAUGGAGAUUUUCAGUUCCUAAACUUUGUCUAGGUCACACCCCAAAAGGGAUGAGACUCCUGGGCCAUUAGCUCAGGUGGUUAGAGCGCACCCCUGAUAAGGGUGAGGUCCCUGGUUCAAGUCCAGGAUGGCCCAUUCGGUGUUGGGGGUUUAGCUCAGUUGGUAGAGCGCCUGCUUUGCAAGCAGGAUGUCAGGAGUUCGAGUCUCCUAACCUCCACUGACCGAACUUGAUUCCCAUCUCCAAUUCUUUUGGAGUUGAGCUCGAUUGGAGUGUGAUUUAGAUGUGUCCGCUGGAUGACCCCAGCUUCCUGUCAUUCCAAGUUUUAGGUUGAUGCCUUGAAUUUGGUUGAUAAGAUGCUGGGC
Molecule: unclassified non-coding RNA, 741 nt
Filed under: uncultured Synechococcus sp.
Lineage: Bacteria; Bacillati; Cyanobacteriota; Cyanophyceae; Synechococcales; Synechococcaceae
Description: partial contains 16S ribosomal RNA and 16S-23S ribosomal RNA intergenic spacer
Rfam family: Bacterial small subunit ribosomal RNA (bases 1-255)
Source: RNAcentral